AGUGAACGCUGGCUGUAGGCCUAACACAUGCAAGUCGAACGGCAGCACAGUAAGAGCUUGCUCUUACGGGUGGCGAGUGGCGGACGGGUGAGGAAUACAUCGGAAUCUACUUUUUCGUGGGGGAUAACGUAGGGAAACUUACGCUAAUACCGCAUACGACCUACGGGUGAAAGCAGGGGAUCUUCGGACCUUGCGCGAUUGAAUGAGCCGAUGUCGGAUUAGCUAGUUGGCGGGGUAAAGGCCCACCAAGGCGACGAUCCGUAGCUGGUCUGAGAGGAUGAUCAGCCACACUGGAACUUAGACACGGUCCAGACUCCUACGGGAGGCAGCAGUGGGGAAUAUUGGACAAUGGGCGCAAGCCUGAUCCAGCCAUACCGCGUGGGUGAAGAAGGCCUUCGGGUUGUAAAGCCCUUUUGUUGGGAAAGAAAAGCAGCAGGUUAAUACCCCGCUGUUCUGACGGUACCCAAAGAAUAAGCACCGGCUAACUUCGUG
RNAcentral lists this ribosomal RNA (492 nucleotides) under uncultured bacterium. Its description in RNAcentral is "partial 16S ribosomal RNA". It matches the Rfam family "Bacterial small subunit ribosomal RNA", at positions 29 to 507 of the family's 1533-position model. The record is from RNAcentral.